CCCUCUGUACAUGCAUGUAGGAGGACUAUGUACAGAGAAUAGGUGGUGCUGCCCCUCUGUACAUGCAUGUAGGAGGACUAUGUACAGAGAAUAGGUGGUGCUGCCCCUCUGUACAUGCAUGUAGGAGGACUAUGUACAGAGAAUAGGUGGUGCUGCCCCUCUGUACAUGCAUGUAGGAGGACUAUGUACAGAGAAUAGGUGGUGCUGCCCCUCUGUACAUGCAUGUAGGAGGACUAUGUACAGAGAAUAGGUGGUGCU
Molecule: long non-coding RNA, 258 nt
Organism: Apodemus sylvaticus (European woodmouse)
Lineage: Eukaryota; Metazoa; Chordata; Mammalia; Rodentia; Muridae
Exons: 3
Source: RefSeq, a predicted model, not a curated record